Phyllostomus discolor (pale spear-nosed bat) is the source of this 1670-nucleotide long non-coding RNA. RefSeq lists it as uncharacterized. Lineage: Eukaryota; Metazoa; Chordata; Mammalia; Chiroptera; Phyllostomidae. The record is from RefSeq and is a predicted model, not a curated record. The transcript has 2 exons.
AGGGAAUGAAAAGAUUUUAUUUGCAUUUUAAAGGCACAAGAACCUCUAAACUGUUCUACAAGUAGGUGCAGGGGCUUCAGGAGUAAAACUGGCAAUGCCAGUAGUAGCCAGUAUUUAAUACUUUUAAUGUGUGUCAGAUGUUGUGCUAAGUGCUUUAUAUACAUUAUUUUAUUUAUAUACGUUAGUUUUAUUGAUUUGCAGCACAUUUCACAGAAGAGACUGUUUUAGAGGUUCAGUGGCCAAAUUAAUGGAGGGAAGGCUGCCAUGGACAAAUUGGCCAGCAUUUCUUCUCUGGAUUAUUGCGGUAGCCUCCCACCAGAUCUCCAGUUCCAUCCUUGCCCCCCUUCCCCUGCCUGACACACACACACAGUCUUAACACAGCAGCCAAAGUGAUCCUAACUAAAACAUUAGUCAGAAUGAGUCACUCUUUGGCUCCGCAUCUCGGAGUGAAAGCCAAAGUCCUUACAAUGGUGGAUAAUCUACUCUUCCCCACCUCAGUGCUUCAAGCACCCUGGCUGCCACUGUACCACAAGCAUGCUGAGCAAGCUCCAGAAUCACUCCCCUUCUGUGUGCACCACCACCUUAACUAUUUGCAAGAGUGCUCAGACUGCUGCCAGAGCCUCCCAGCUGCUCUCCCUGCCUCCACUCUUGCCCCCACCCUGCAGUUAGGGUUUUGGAAAAUCAUUGUUUUUUUUUUCUCCUCUUCUCUUUUUUUGGAUGAUGAUAUUUGAAAAAUAUAUUUCAGAUUAUAUCACUUGCCUGCUUAACACUCAAAAACUCUAUCAUUUGGUCCAUCUGUAAACUGGCCACUGCCCACGUGUCUAAAUGUAUCCCCCGCCUUGCUCACUUCAACCACACUGCUGUUCUCUUCAGUUCCUGAAGCCUGCCAUUCACAUCUCCCCCUUGCCUUAGGGCCUUUGUAACUCCUGCUCCUUCUGCCUAUCACUCCAUUCUCCUAGAUCAACCUGGCUGGCCCACGUAUCACCUCGAUGAACCUUUCUCUGAUCUGCCUCCCUUAACUGCCUCAAAGUUACUCAUUAUUACAUUACCUCUGUUUUAGUUUCCUCCUGGUCCUUAGCACUGUCAGCAGUCAAGCAGUCCUUAAAUGGCAACUACUACAGUUGCUAGGUUGGACUUGCUACUUUGCCAUAGAUUCUGCAGGGAAGGAAAGAGCCCAAGUGAAUACACAUAGUUUAUUACUUAGUAUGAGCAAGAUCAUGAUGUUAGCUUCCCUCAUCCCCAGUCCCACAGGAUGACACCAAACCAGAAAGGACAGAUGACACAAGUAGUGGAUUGCCCUAUUGUGAACGAGCUGGCUCCAUAUUCCAGCUAAAUGAUUUUACAGCCUGCAGCUCUACCCUAAGUGGGGAGGCAAGUUUGAAAGUCUCAUGCCUCACCAGCACCAGGGAGACAGGACUGGUAUCCUUAUAAGAAAAGGAAGACACACCAAGGAUGUAUGAAAAGGCCUAAUGAGGACACAGCAAGAAAAGUGGCCAUCUAUAAGCCGAGAGAGGUCUCAGGAGAAACCAACCAUGAUGGCACCUUGACCUUGGACUUCUAGCCUCCAGAACUGUGAGAAAAAUUUCUGUUAUUGGCUUAAAUAAUAGUCUGCAGUAUUCUGUUAGGGCACCUUGAAUCAUACAACACUUGGUUUCCUUCCUUCUACCUUU